CCCUUAGAUGUUCUGGGCGGCCCGCGCACUACAUUGGCACUAGCAAAGAGAUCCUAGAUUGAAUUCUUUGGGGUAUUCUUCUAAAUGGUGUCGUGACUGGGAUAAAUCCUUGUAAUUAUUGGUUUUGAACGAGGAAUUCCUUGUAAUCGCGGUUUAUCAACUCGCGUUGAAUGCGUCCCUGCCCUUUGUACACACCGCCCGUCGCUCCUACCGAUGGAUCGUCCGGUGAAGCUCACGGAGUGACUGUUCACGCAACGGUUUACGAAGUGAAAUGGACCUCACGAUUUAGAGGAAGGAGAAGUCGUAACA
This 309-nucleotide ribosomal RNA is filed under the name uncultured eukaryote. RNAcentral describes it as "partial 18S ribosomal RNA". It matches the Rfam family "Eukaryotic small subunit ribosomal RNA", at positions 1470 to 1796 of the family's 1831-position model. The record is from RNAcentral.